AAGAGAAACACCGCUUCACUACUAAAGUGUUGUACGCUGAUGCUUCUCAGACUCUACGCGCCGCCGCGGGCUUUGAAUUCACCCACGCAUGCGAAGUAAAUUUAUUUGAUGAACUAUCUUAUUGUGUGAAGAUAAGACACCGACAAACAGUAAAGAUAAAUUUCCUUUUGUUUUAUUGAAACUGCAAAUUACAUAUGAUAAUUCAGUCGCUGAUGAAGAUUGGCUGAAAACCCCGAAUUGGAAGGGAUAAACAAAAACUCAUGAGUGGUGGGGAAUCAGCCGGGAGCGUUGAACAAAGGUCGUUUGCGUGAUGAGAAGAGCCGGCGAGUUAGACGGUACCAGAUACUCACCAGAUCAACAUCAACAAGUAUUAGUCGUACAUCAAAUACCGUAAUCCAGAUCACAUCUUGUGGAAGUUUAAUAAUACAAACUAUUACAGGCAGAGUGGCGGCGUUAUUUGUGAUAUCAUGGCAGCGGCUACCAGCGUUGUCGUUCUCGAUCGAGGCAACAAUACCACCUGCACGAUUAAUUUACACGGAGCCACAGUAGUUUCUUGGAGGGUUAACAAUCAAGAACAGCUGUUUGUUAGACCUUAAAAGACGGACUAAAACCAGCGAUUUAUCUUGAACGGGAAAAAAUAAAUGGAAAGGAAUGAAAAAGUAUUAUGUAUAAGGGGAAUGGCAUGUAAAAGCAGAAGAAGACGAAUAAGAGGAUGAUGAAAGUGGUGAAAGAGUUUCUGUAGCUUCUGAAGAAAGGUCUUAUGUGCUGACGAUUGAUUGGAUAAUUCAAAAGUUUAAUCGUGAAUUUAUAAGGAUAAAUGAAAGGAAUAAUGAAAGUUUUAACACUUGAGAAAAAUUUUUCAUUGGAUUGGAAGAAGCAACUCAAUUCAAGUGAUGAACGGGAAUUAACGUGACUCAGUAUGUAGCAUUCGAUAAAAUGGGUAGAACAGAAUUGGAGAAGAGGACGAAGAAGAAGAAGAAGUUGAUGAAUUUGGUGGUUUGGUUCACUAGUGAGCAGGCCAUCAGAGAGUUAGAAGAGGAUGUUGGAUGUGUGUACAUGUAUCUACGAAUACAUUCUGAAAUCCGUGAAGGGAGGAGGGAGGGACAAGGGGGUGGCACUGAAGUAGAGAGCAAAGAAACAAGAAAGCAAGAGAAACAGAGUGAGUGAGAUCGAGCACUAAUGAUGCAGCAGCAGCAGCGCCUGGCGUCGUCGUCGUCGUCGUCCCUGGUUUUUGUCGUCGUUAUUCUCUUUCUCACUUACUCUCCCUCUGUAUCUGGUUGUUCUUCUCGUCACUUCAGCUUACUUGUCGGACCGUAGAAUUUGCACAGACGAUUUUCCAGAUGAAUUUCCAACUUUAAAUUGUUACGACAGCCACGACACAACAAAAUUAACAAAUCAACUUAAUUUUUUGCUAACUUUACUUGAAAUCAUUAAUGGUGUUCUAGCUUUUGCCACUUUAAUUCAUUGGUACUUGGCGUAAAUAUGAACAUUCAAUUGAACUGGAUUGUUUUAUAAUUCAUUAUUUGUAAUUCCAAUUAUAAUUUUGUUUUAUGGAAUUAGUUUGAAGGAAUGGAAUAUAUAUUAUCCUUGGAGAGGUGCGUUGGCCGGGUACGAGAGAGAAGAAAUAUAUAUAUAUAUAUAUAUAUAUAUAUGUGUAUAAAAAAAAAGGGGGAACUUCUGGUGAGUUCUGCAGUUGAAAGGGAAUGUUGUAGAAUGCCGGCAAAAAGCGUUCAGCCACUGAGAUCAUUAGUCUACGGUCUUGAGCUUAUAACCAACAACGUUCUACUAUACGAUGUGGUGGUAUACCGGGUGAUGAGACACCAUCCAAUGUUGGUGAUGUCUCUUGUAUUGGUAUCCCGGCUUUUAGAAGCUCAAAUGCUGCAUCAAUCGUUCCAACAUUAUUUUUACCGUAUCGAUAAAUUGGAAAUCUCAGAAGAUUUUUAAAAUUGAGAAACACGUGGAAUACAUGUGGACCCAUUAACUACCAGCUUGUACCACAUGUUUCAUUUAUUAUGGGGCUAUAAAUAUAUCCCCAUAAUACGUAGAUAUAUUUAUAGUUAAAAGAGUGGUUUGUAAGUUGAUAUUAACAUCAAUUUAAGUAUUUAGAUCUUAAAAUUGAAGCUUAUCAUUAUCAGCAAAGAUAAUGUGAUGAUUCAUGGUUUGAGCAAAAAGUGCUCGGGUGUUAUCGCGCUCAUUUGGUCAAUCUCUCACGAUCAAGCUUGAGUGUGUAUCUUGAGAUGUUGUCGUACGAUGGUAUGGCUAAGAGUACAGCCUAGCGGAUGGAUGAUGUUCUCUUUGUGUGUUGAGAGGAAAAUAAAUGCGUUGACCCCGUAUGGUAUAGUACUAUGUGAGAAAUGCCAGCGAGUAGUAAUAUAUUUAAAAAAAAGAAAGAAGAUAUUCUGUUGAAUGAUAUGAAAGGAAAAGAAAAAGAAAGAGAAAGCGAAAGCAAAACCGAAAGAUAAAGAAGGAUGAUGAAGAUUGGAUGAGGAAUUGUCCAGAUGAAGGCAGUAGUAUUAUGUUAGACAGUCAGAGAAAUACUUGGUUGUACUUGACUGCGAUAACAGCUAAUGAGGUGAUUACAAGUGCCUGAUGCUGUUACUGCAACCUCUGGCUUAGUUGUGGUACUCUCUUUAGCGCACCAAAGUCGCUAAAGUGGAUUUAUAAGAGUGGGCUGAGAAUCUGUCGGAUUCCUUAGCAGUGAUGUGAUGCUUUUGAUUCAAGUCUUUUACGGAUUUUCAUAGAUCCAUUAAAUUAUAUUAUCAGUACAAUUGCCACUUAUCAUGUAAUUUAUAAAUUAAGUGUAAUCCGUUCUGGCAAAUGAAGAGUAUAAGAGUGGACGAGCUGGAAGAGUCAGUCUGUCGACGAGCUACAAAAGAUAUAUAAAUAGAGGGUACACGUCGAGGCAUUGUUUCUUGCUAACUUUGGUUAAACAAAGUUUCGCGGCGACUUCGGCGGCAGGGUGAAAAGCAAAGGGAAUCAGCGUGAGGGCGUAUCGUCCGCGGGGACAAGAGAUGAUGAAGGGAAAAAGGGAUGAUAGUAUAUGUAUACAUCUACGUAUAAAUUUAUAUGUAUUGGAGUAUGAGCAAGAAGAGGGAGAAAAUUCAAGCCCGGUAAAGCAGCAGCCAGCCCGGCUAAUCGCAAAAACCGCUGGCUUUGCUCUACACUCGCGCUUCAAACAGGCUACUCGCAAGUA
RNAcentral lists this long non-coding RNA (3193 nucleotides) under Cotesia glomerata. Its description in RNAcentral is "uncharacterized LOC123260032, transcript variant X4". Lineage: Eukaryota; Metazoa; Arthropoda; Insecta; Hymenoptera; Braconidae. The record is from RNAcentral.